Molecule: ribosomal RNA, 521 nt
Filed under: uncultured bacterium
Lineage: Bacteria
Description: bacterial SSU rRNA
Rfam family: Bacterial small subunit ribosomal RNA
Source: RNAcentral
AACGAACGCUGGCGGCGUGGAUAAGACAUGCAAGUCGAACGAGAACUUUUUGAAGCUUGCUUUUAAAAGUUCUAGUGGCGAACGGGUGAGUAACACGUGAGCAACCUGCCUGGAAGCGGGGGAUAGCCUGGGGAAACUCGGAUUAAUACCGCAUGUGGUCAUACAGGACAUCCUGUUAUGAUUAAAGGCGCCUUCGGGUGUCGCUUCCAGAUGGGCUCGCGGCCUAUCAGCUUGUUGGUGAGGUAACGGCUCACCAAGGCGAUGACGGGUAGUUGGUCUGAGAGGAUGGUCAACCACACUGGAACUGAGACACGGUCCAGACACCUACGGGUGGCAGCAGUCGAGAAUCAUUCACAAUGGGCGAAAGCCUGAUGGUGCGACGCCGCGUGGAGGAUGAAGGCCCUAGGGUUGUAAACUCCUGUCAUCAGGGAGUAAAGCAUCGGUCAAGACAACGGUCCGAUGCCUGAUAGUACCUGAAGAGGAAGAGACGGCUAACUCUGUGCCAGCCGCCGCCGUAACAC